RNAcentral lists this long non-coding RNA (469 nucleotides) under Sinocyclocheilus anshuiensis. Its description in RNAcentral is "lncRNA (ENSSANG00000040622.1)". Lineage: Eukaryota; Metazoa; Chordata; Actinopteri; Cypriniformes; Cyprinidae. The record is from RNAcentral.
AUCUGUCACACUUUCUCACAUCUUGUAGGUUACUUUAAGGCUUUCUGGGUUGGUUACUCACCUUCCUGUCUAAACAGAUACUCUGUCAGAGUGAAGCAGAAGUUGGAUGCCACAAAUGCUGACAUGAAGCAGAGUUAGAGUAUUUUAUGUUAUCAUCAACUUGUAAGUCUAUGAAUACAAAUCAUACUAUUGCUCCUCAUUCAUGACUCUUGCGCUAAAACUGAACAACAUCUCAGCAUGACUGUGUCAACACUGUGUUUGGAUUUGGUAUGUAUACUAUUUAUAGCCUCCCAAUGCCAAAGUAAAAUUCCACCCUUGAAAAAUGGAAGUUGUUCAGCAGGAUAUUACAAAUUAAAACAUGACUGUGUGAUGUGUGGGAGCGGUUUUUACACUGCCUUACCAAAUAAUCUAAAAUAUUGUUUAAGAUGUACGCCGUGUGAUUGGGAUGGUAAGUAACAUACCAGAAUGC